This 460-nucleotide ribosomal RNA is filed under the name uncultured bacterium. Its description in RNAcentral is "partial 16S ribosomal RNA". It matches the Rfam family "Bacterial small subunit ribosomal RNA", at positions 338 to 795 of the family's 1533-position model. The record is from RNAcentral.
CCUACGGGAGGCAGCAGUGAGGAAUAUUGGUCAAUGGACGCAAGUCUGAACCAGCCAUGCCGCGUGCAGGAAGACGGCUCUAUGAGUUGUAAACUGCUUUUGUACGAGGGUAAACGCAGAUACGCGUAUCUGUCUGAAAGUAUCGUACGAAUAAGGAUCGGCUAACUCCGUGCCAGCAGCCGCGGUAAUACGGAGGAUUCAAGCGUUAUCCGGAUUUAUUGGGUUUAAAGGGUGCGUAGGCGGUCUGUUAAGUUAGAGGUGAAAUCUCGAGGCUCAACUGCGGAAUUGCCUCUGAUACUGUCCGGCUAGAGAGUAGUUGCGGUAGGCGGAAUUUAUGGUGUAGCGGUGAAAUGCUUAGAGAUCAUACAGAACACCGAUUGCGAAGGCAGCUUACCAAGCUACUUCUGACGUUGAGGCACGAAAGUGUGGGGAUCAAACAGGAUUAGAUACCCUUGUAGUC